Molecule: ribosomal RNA, 129 nt
Filed under: uncultured bacterium
Lineage: Bacteria
Description: partial 16S ribosomal RNA
Rfam family: Bacterial small subunit ribosomal RNA
Source: RNAcentral
UCCCGGGCCUUGUACACACCGCCCGUCAAACCAUGAGAGUUGGCAACACCCGAAGUCGGUAGUCUAACCGCAAGGAGGACGCCGCCGAAGGUGGGGUUGAUGAUUAGGGUUAAGUCGUAACAAGGUAGC